GCGUGCUUAACACAUGCAAGUCGAACGGAAAGGCCCUGCUUUUGUGGGGUGCUCGAGUGGCGAACGGGUGAGUAACACGUGAGUAACCUGCCCUUGACUUUGGGAUAACUUCAGGAAACUGGGGCUAAUACCGGAUAGGAGCUCCUGCUGCAUGGUGGGGGUUGGAAAGUUUCGGCGGUUGGGGAUGGACUCGCGGCUUAUCAGCUUGUUGGUGGGGUAGUGGCUUACCAAGGCUUUGACGGGUAGCCGGCCUGAGAGGGUGACCGGCCACAUUGGGACUGAGAUACGGCCCAGACUCCUACGGGAGGCAGCAGUGGGGAAUAUUGCACAAUGGGCGGAAGCCUGAUGCAGCAACGCCGCGUGCGGGAUGACGGCCUUCGGGUUGUAAACCGCUUUCGCCUGUGACGAAGCGUGAGUGACGGUAAUGGGUAAAGAAGCACCGGCUAACUACGUGCCAGCAGCCGCGGUGAUACGUAGGGUGCGAGCGUUGUCCGGAUUUAUUGGGCGUAAAGGGCUCGUAGGUGGUUGAUCGCGUCGGAAGUGUAAUCUUGGGGCUUAACCCUGAGCGUGCUUUCGAUACGGGUUGACUUGAGGGAGGUAGGGGAGAAUGGAAUUCCUGGUGGAGCGGUGGAAUGCGCAGAUAUCAGGAGGAACACCAGUGGCGAAGGCGGUUCUCUGGGCCUUUCCUGACGCUGAGGAGCGAAAGCGUGGGGAGCGAACAGGCUUAGAUACCCUGGUAGUCCACGCUGUAAACGGUGGGUACUAGGUGUGGGGUCCAUUCCACGGGUUCCGUGCCGUAGCUAACGCUUUAAGUACCCCGCCUGGGGAGUACGGCCGCAAGGCUAAAACUCAAAGGAAUUGACGGGGCCCCGCACAAGCGGCGGAGCAUGCGGAUUAAUUCGAUGCAACGCGUAGAACCUUACCUGGGUUUGACAUGGAUCGGGAGUGCUCAGAGAUGGGUGUGCCUCUUUUGGGGUCGGUUCACAGGUGGUGCAUGCCUGUCGUCAGCUCGUGUCGUGAGAUGUUGGGUUAAGUCCCGCAACGAGCGCAACCCUUGUUCACUGUUGCCAGCACGUUAUGGUGGGGACUCAGUGGAGACCGCCGGGGUCAACUCGGAGGAAGGUGGGGAUGACGUCAAGUCAUCAUGCCCCUUAUGUCCAGGGCUUCACGCAUGCUACAAUGGCUGGUACAGAGAGUGGCGAGCCUGUGAGGGUGAGCGAAUCUCGGAAAGCCGGUCUCAGUUCGGAUUGGGGUCUGCAACUCGACCUCAUGAAGUCGGAGUCGCUAGUAAUCGCAGAUCAGCAACGCUGCGGUGAAUACGUUCCCGGGGCUUGUACACACCGCCCGUCAAGUCAUGAAAGUUGGUAACACCCGAAGCCGGUGGCCUAACCGUUGUGGGGGAGCCGUCGAAGGUGGGACUGGUGAUUAGGACUAAGUCA
This 1439-nucleotide ribosomal RNA is filed under the name uncultured organism. RNAcentral describes it as "partial small subunit ribosomal RNA". It matches the Rfam family "Bacterial small subunit ribosomal RNA". The record is from RNAcentral.